AAUUUAUUUUUAAAUUUUUUAAAUAAGAUGUCAUAAUCUAAGUUUUUAAUAAUGUAUAUUCAUAAUUAUAUAAAAAAAUUAAAUAAAGUUGUACAGCCCAAUUUUAGGCCCAAAAUUAAAAUAACCCCAAACCCAAUACUCAGAUUAAACCACAAUCCUUAGCCCAAACAAAUCAAAACCCUAGCCCAACCCAAACACAAACAAAAGAAAGACGCUAAGAAAACCCUAAGUUGCUUCAGCCACUUGCUCCCUGUCCCAUCCACCACCGCCUUUGCUCCCACCGACAGGUCAAGUCCACCGCCAUUCACCUGCAAGCAUUAAACGAGAGAAGACAGAAAGCAAAAAGGAGCAGUGUGCACAAAUAUAUAAACCAAAACGAAAUUGUAAAAAGCAUUCGGUUUUUUCGGUGAGAAAUAAAAAGAAGCACUUAAUUUUAAAACACAAAAUCAGUAAGUCAAAGGCACAAAAUAUCCAAUCAAGAGAAAAACAUUAAAAGAAGAAACGAAAACAUAGAAUCAAAAAUUAGGGGAACAAAAGAUGAUUUCAUUUUCUUUCGAUUUGUUUCGUUUUUCUUUCUUUUCUAUUUUCCACGCCCUUUUAUUCGCAUAUAUUCAUAUAUUGUAAACAAAAAUAAUGAUAGAAAAAAAGAAGAAAAAAUAUACCUUCUGGGAAUUUCGACCACCGCGUGCGGUGGCAGGCGACGGUGGCGGAUCGGCAACGGCGGGAGCGCGUGGUGGCCCUCCUCGCCGGAAUCUGGGGUUUUCCCAGAGAGAAGGGAAGAACUCUUCCCUUUAUUUUUCUGAAGCAGCAAAAGAAUGCUUGUUUUUAAAAAUUUUUGGGUUUAUAUAAUGGCAUAAUACGGCGUCGUUUUGGGCCUUAACUCACAGCACCAAAACGACACCGUUUCACGUGACCCGUGUGCGACCCGACCCGAUGCCUGAGGAUCCGCGUGUUUCCACCGUCUGGGAUAAUUGCUCGCGUGGCCCCUCCCCAUUUCUGCUAUGUUUUAAUCCGAUUUUCGCCCAUUUCUUAAAUCCGCCUUUUAACUUUAAUUUUGUUUCAAUUCGGACCUCGGGUCAUUUGACGAUUAGACAUCUGAUGGUGUCGUUUUGGGUGUCGGAACAUUGCCCCAUAUAGCCCCUGUGCCUUCUCGUGUGUUGCAAUUUCGUCCCAUCUCGAUUUGUCCCAAAAGUUCCAUUUUUAAUUCAAUUUCGUCCCUCUCUUAUUUUAUUUUAUUUUAAUAUUAUUCAUGCCAUUAUAUUUUAUUACUGUUAUAUUUUUAUUUACUAACAUCUCAUUUUUAUUUAAUACUUACAUAUAUAUGUUAUAAAGUAUUAUUAAUAGCUUAAUAUUAUUGUUUUAUUAAUGCCUUUGUAUGUCACACAUGUAUUUCUUCAAUAUAUACAUACAUUAUUUUCCAUAUUACGCAUGUAUUAAUAUUAUACCACGUAUAUAUAUUUUUUAUAUAUAGCAUUGUUUAUUUUUAUUUUUAUUAUAUUUGCUCUUUGUAUUUCUAUAUUAUUAUUAUUAUUAUUAUUAUUAUUAUUAUUAUUAUAUAGUAGUGUGUAUUUUCAUUAUAUAUAUAUUGAUAUACGGUAUUACUUUUGUUUACUUUACUUUAAUAUUAUUAUUACCAUUAUCAUCCUUAUUGUAAUUACUAUUACCAUUAUUAGUAUUAGCAUUUUUCAUCAAUACUUAUAUGCAUGUAGUUUAAUACCAUUUUUAACGCCAUGCAUGUUGUGUAUAUUCUUAAAACUGUAUUAUGUACAUAUAUUUUAAUAUCACGUAUAUUCUUAUUAUUAUUUCUAUUUUUUCAUAUAUAUUUCAAUACAUGCAUGUAUGCAUUUAUGUAUCGUUAUUAUUAGUUACUCUUGUAUAUAUUAUCACUGUUUUUAAUAAAUAUUAUAUUUUUAUUUUUAAUCUAGUACUACGUAUUUUACAUAUAUAUGUUCCCUGUUAUUUCAUAUUUACAUUAUUACCAUCAUUUUAAUGUUUAAUACCAUAUAUUAUUUUAUACUGUCAUUAUUCAUAUAAUUAUUAUAAUCAUCGAUUUCGUUAUCAUUACCAUUUUUAUUUUGCGAUAUUUUAUUCAUUUUUAUUUUAUUAAUUUACUUAUGUGUUCGGCCAUUUUAUUUUCCUCACGCAUUUGUUUAUAUUUACAUAUUACUAACCUUGCUUAUAUGUCAUCUUUUUAUAAUUGCUCGUUAUUGUCACUCAUUAUUAUACGUUAUUAUUAAUAUCAUAAUCUGCUUUUAUAUAUUACUAUAAACCACAUUAUGUUUUUACUCAAUGCCUUAAAAUAAUUCUUUCAUAAAAGUGAUAUUCCGUAUUCGGUAAUUCGAGAUAGUUGUGCCCUAACUUACUGGGUUUCGAUUUUUCUCAUUUAACCUAAAUAACGAAAUACUCUUUUAAAUCGCUAUACGAGUUUUGAAAAUACUUAUUCUCGGAGAUACGAAGUGUUGUGCCCUAACUUACCGGGUAUGACAUUUUAUCACCUCGAAAUAAGAAUUUGUUUUAAAAUAAAGGCAAUAUUCGGUGUUUGAGAAUUCGAGAAAACGUACCUUAACUUACUGGGUUUCGAUUUCUCUUAUUUACUCUAAAUAAUCGAAUCCCCUUUUAAUAAAUUAAAAUAUGUAAAUUUUAUACAAAAGACAAGCUCGCUCUCGAAAAUUCAAGAUGUUGUGUCCUAACUUACUGGAUGUGACCUUUUAUAUUUUGAGACGAGAGGGUCUUUAACACUUGAACAUUUUUAUAAAGAAGGAUCGUAUUUUAAAUUUUUUCAAGUUUUCAAAUUUUCGACACUAAGACACUAAUUAAUCAACUAGGUACCAAUUUUUGGGCGUAUCGAGGGUGCUAAUCCUUCCUCGUGCGUAACCGACUCCCAAACUCAUUUUUUGAUUUUCGUAUACUAGAAAUUAUCGUUUUCGUAAAUCUUAACUUUUAUUAAAAUGAUUAAUUUGAGGUGACCUGAUCACACCUCAUCAAAAAGGAUUGGUGGCGACUCCUCUGUUCGUUUUUAUUUUCAAAAUCCAAGUCAAUUCUCGUUUUUCAAAAAAAAAUGGUUACGACAGCUUGGCGACUCCACUGAGGAAUCAAAUAAGAGAGUCAAGCCACAAGUUGAUUAACUCUUGUCUUUUUAUCGAAAAUUGGAAAUUUGGUUUUGAAAUAUGAUCAUUUCAUUGCAUUUCAUCAGCUAUUUUUUUGUGGUAUAUGAUACAAUACCUGCUGCGUUGGUUCGAGUCUUUAAGUAGUUUGCAUUGCAUUGCAUGACCGCUGUGGUCACACCCCUUUAAGUGGGAGUGAGAAACUACUCCUUCGUGAGGUUUUCACCUCCGUGCAGGAUAGUGGAUCGCUUUCGGGAUACAUCCGUACCUAUGUCUUCGUGAGAUUUUCAUCUCCGUGCAGCCAUAGGGAAACGUAUUCCCCUGAACUGAACUCGGUCUGUAUGAGCCUAUAUGGGGUGAAAAUCGAGGAAUCUGCUGGUUCAGGUACCCUUACUCUAGAACCAAACCCCAUAUAGCGAGCCUUAAGAACCCACCUUAGGUAGAGCCACUCCGAAACCCUAGUGGUUUCCUGAGCAAGUGCUAUGUUUAUUAUUCUUUGUUUGCUUUGAACUGCGUAUGAAAUACUGACUUGCUUUAUUUUACUUUGAUUGUAUUUGCAUGACAUUUUCAUCACAAAAUGUGUUGAUUCGCAUUCGGUUUCUAAAUAGAUAGCUUAUCAUGGAAAAGGGGUUUUUUGAUAAAGUAGAAGACAACGCGACUGUCCGGAUAUGGGUUGAGACAACACAACAAGAGAAAGGUGACAGUCUUACCGAGGGGUACGUGUUAGAGUUAUGGAAUUUUACUCGGAUCAGCGUAACUCAGAAUAAUCUCUAAGAGAUGAAAGAAAUUUGGGGUCAGUGGGAUGAUGAGGUCAAACAGCUAUUUUAUUGUCAUUACGGUGAUUUACCUUAUCUGCUCGAUGUCAAGGUAGAUGAACACCUAUUUCGAGCCCUUGCCCAAUAUUGGAAUUCUGCUUACAGUUGCUUCACUUUCGGGAAAGUAGACUUGGUACCUACUAUAGAAGAAUACACGACCUUGCUCCAUUGCCCAAAGAUUCAGGUUGAUAGAAUUUAUUCCAGACCCGCUAACGUCCCAGCAUUUUCAAAAAAGCUGAUGAACAUCACAGGAAUGAGCGAACAGUGGGUGACAACCCGGAUCAAACAAAAAGAAGAUUGUAAAUGCAUUCAUUGGAGGAACCUGAGGGAUCUAAUCUUAGCACACCCCGACGUGAAGAAAAGGGUAGAUGUCUUCGUCUUGAGCAUUUAUGGACUGGUUAUCUUCCCCAAGGCUUUGGGGCAUGUAGACGAGGCUGUUUCUGACCUUUUUGACAGGCUUGGUAAAAGAACCACACCUGUACCCGCAAUCUUGGCUGAAACUUUCAGAUCAUUGAAUGCUUGUAGAAGAGCGGGUGAAGGGAGAUUUAUUGGAUGUGCACAACUCUUGCUAUCUUGGUUCCACAGCCAUUUUUGGAAAGUGGAAAAGGUUUCAUAUCGUAUCUUCUCUGAAAAUUACUCUCCACUGAAAGAGUUAGUGGCAACACCGAGGCGAGAUGAUGUUACAGAAGAAAAUUGGAUCACGGUCCUCCAAAAUUUACGAGAAGAAGACGUUGAAUGGAGAGCCCCGUGGAUAGUUCCUAAUGAAAUAUUAUACCAAUGCGGAGAUUUCGAUUGGGUUCCCUUGUUAGGAGUAUGGGGAGCCGUUGGAUAUGCUCCUCUGCUUGCAUUAAGACAGUACAGAUCCAAACAAUUUACACCACCAACAUACGGGUUAGCCCAGUGCGAGUUCGUGUUCACAGGGAAUAAUUACAAAAAGAAGGUUCGCGAGAUAUCAAAUGCCUGGAACCAGACUCGUAGAAUGAAAAAGUUUGCUGCCAAUCCCAUGACUACUCCUGAGUACGACCGAUGGUGGAAUCAGAGGAUUAAUGACAACAUCCUACAUCAGAUCAAGGGAAUCCUCAGUCGAUAGAAGAACACUUGAAAGUAAUCCCAUCUGAGCUAGAAAUCAUCAGGAAAGAUUUUGAGAGGAAGAGUCUAGAGCUAGAAAAAAGGAUCGAGCAGUUGGAAGAAGAAAAGAUGCAGCUAAGGUUAGAUGUUGAUGUCCAGAAACUAGAAGCUAAAAGACUCAGAAAAGGAAAAAAUAAGGCUGAAGAGGACUUGGACAGUUUGAAAACGGACUAUAAGAAGCUGCGCAGAUCAAUGAGAACCACUAGGUUAGGAAAAAUAUCCGAACAGUGGCGACAUAAAGUUAAAGAAGAACAAAGAAAAGCCAACCAGUGGGAAGAAAAACUUCGCGAUGCUCAAGCUCGAGAAGGUGCUCUGGAAAGAAGUUUGGUAGAAAGCCAGAAUGAGAAAGAAGGGUUAAAGAUCCGGGUAUCAGAGUUAGAGAAGUUAUUGUAUCAUUAUCGCUCAUGUAACUUUACAAUCGAGUUGAAAGCUAGUCAGAACAGAAUCGAAGAAUUAAAAGAAAAUAUAGAAGAACUCAAAACAGCGCUGCAAAAUCGUGAACUUCAAAUAGAACUCCUCGAGGUGAAUAACGAGCGAUGAAAGGAGCAACUUCAUCAAUCUCAAGACCAAGUCAGGAGCAGGGACUACGUCAUGGGCGAAGCUUUGACUCAAGUGGGAGAUGUGGCUGAUCACUUGCAAACAUUAGUAGUACAAGCCGAUGUGCUAAGUUUAAAAUACGAGUCAGAAUCGGACUGAGGCCGAGAGCUAGCUUGGCUUCUUAGGCAGGUCAAGGCCUUAAGUAUCAGGGCCAAGCCUUAUAUUUAAUCUAUUUUAUGUAAAGAAAUUUUUUUUCUAGAAAUGUUACUCUAAUGAAAUCGAAUUGGAAUCAACGUUUUUUUUUUGCAUUCAUUGCAUUUAUUGCAUUCAUGCAUCAGCAUUGCAUCAUACGCACUAAAACUCACAAGAAACCCUAAAAAUCAUGGUAGUUACCCUGAAACAUCGUUACGGUACAAGAGGAAAAACAAGAGCAAUGGACCAAAGGUUAGAGAGAUUGGAACAAAUGCAAAAAGAGAUGCAGGAUCAAUUACAAGCACGUAUGCAAGAACAGCUUGCCAAAAUCCAGUAAGAUAUGAGGGACCAUAUGUUGGAGUCCCAGAAAAGCAUGAUGGACCAAUUAACUCGUCUACUGGCUGGCGGAUUAGAAAAAGGGAAAUGCCUUUUGAUCAAUGCGGGAGAAGAUAAUGAAGAUCCUACCUACCUUCCGGGUUUUGCCCCAGCAGACAUUCAGACACAACCUGACAUGUACCCAAGAAGGCCAUCGGUCACAAUUAGGCCCCAACCAUUUCAGGCCGGUGUUUCGACACCAAUAAAUUAUCAGGCCAGCUCGGGCUCUAAUCCAAGGGACAACCCAACCAACCCUGUGGUCCUCAAUCUCGAUGAAGUAACAGAAGUAGAAAAGACAAGGGUAGAACUCCCGAGAGAGCUUGAAGAAAGGUGUAGAUGGUUGGAAGAAAAAUUUAAAGAAAUGAAAAGCACCGAUUAUCGUGGUGGAAUUGAUGCUAAGGAAUUAAGUUUGGUUCUGGACCUGGUACUCCUUCACAAGUUCAAAAUUCCAGAAUUUGAGAAAUACAAUGGGACUAGCUGUCCCGAAGCUCACAUCACUAUGUUCUGCAGACGGAUAGCAGGCCAUGUCAAUAAUGACCAACUAUUAAUUCACUGCUUCCAAGAAAGUCUGGUUGGGGCCGCUUCUAGAUGGUACAACCAACUGAGUCGCGCCCAGAUCAGUUCAUGGAAAGAUUUAGCACAAGCCUUCAUGAAGCAGUACGGUCAUGUGGCAGACAUAGCCCCUCAUAGAAUCACUUUACAGAAUAUAGAGAAAAAACAUAAUGAGAGCUUUAGGUAGUACGCCCAGCGAUGGAGAAAAGUGGCCACACAAGUCCAACCCCCUCUGUUGGAAAAGGAAACCACUAUGCUCUUCAUCAAUACCCUGGAAGCACCUUUUAUUAACCACAUACUGGGUAGCGCAACCAAGAGUUUUUCGGACAUAGUAAUGUCUGGAGAAAUGAUAGAAAAUGCCAUAAGAUGUGGGAAAAUAGAGGCUAGGGAAAACGCCAAGAGGUCAGCACCGAGAAAGAAAGAGCACGAGGUGAAUAAUGUGAGCUCAUAUUCGAAAUCGAUCACCGUAAGCCAACCAAGGUCGACAACUACUGGACAGCAGGGCCCACCCAGACAAGAGCCCAACACAAAACAAAAUAGGGAGAAACUCCAAUUUACGCCCAUACCAAUGACGUACAAGGAGUUAUACUAAAGUUUAUUUGAUGCACAUGUCGUGUCUCCCUUCUAUCUAAAGUCAAUGCAACCUCCAUACCCCAAAUGGUAUGACGCAAAUGCCCAAUGCGAAUACCAUGCGGGAGCUACAGGACACUCGAUAGAAAACUGCACCACUUUCAAGAAAUUGGUUGAAAGACUCAUCAACAUAGGGAUUGUGAAAUUUGAUGAUGCAUCCAGUACAGAGAAUCCAUUACCUAACCAUGGGGAUAAGGGAAUAAAUGUGGUAACCGAGAGUUUGGGGAAAAAAAUUAAGACGAAUGUUGCCGAAGUGAAUACCCCGUUGAAAGAAGUAUGGAAGAAAAUGGUGGAAAGAGAGUUGAUAGCACAAAAUUCAAGGGUCAGACCUCGAGAAGUAACGAAUUAUUGCGAGUUCCAUGAUCAAGAGGAUCAUGAGAUUCAGAAAUGCAGUGAAUUCAGGGCUCUGUUACAAGGAUUGACGGAUAAUAAGGAGUUGGAAUUCUUCGAAUAUGUUGGGAGCCCGGAAGAAGUAGAUGUGUGUACCUCCAAAGAAGGGUUGAUGAAGGAUGUUUACAAAGUCAACCACCCAGUGGUUAUCAUAUCACGUCCGAGAAUGAAUGAAGUCGGGGCACAAGUUGCACCAAAGGUUGUAAUCCAGAAGCCCGUUGCUUUCAUUUACAAGGAUAGCAAAAAGGUACCGUGGAACUAUAGCUGCAAUGUGACAUUCCCGGGAGAGGAGACCCCGAUUAAUACAUCAGAAGAAGUUUAAGAUGAGGGUUUUUAUACGCGCAGCAGAAGGCAUUAUACCCCAAAUACAAAAGUCGAACAGGUUAAAGAAAAAUCAUUAGCAAUUGAGUAAAAGAAAGAGAAGCCGGCGAGGCCUGAACCAACUGUUAAUGAAUCAGUGAUUGAAAAAGAAGCCAAGGAAUUCUUAAAAUUUCUAAAGCAGUGAAUAUAGUGUCGUAGAAUAGUUGCACAAACAGCCAGUGCGUAUAUCGGUACUGGCCUUACUUUUAACCUUCGAAACCCAUCGCAGCGCAUUGAUGAAAGUGCUAAAUGAAACUUAUGUUGCUAACAAUAUCUCUGUAAACAAACUGGACCGCUUAGUCAACAAUAUAAGUGCCGGCAACUUCAUAUUCUUCAAUGACGAUGAGGUACCGCCAGGGGGCUGAAGAUCAACUAAAGCUUUGCACAUCACGACUCACUUUAAAGGGUACACAUUACCGGGGGUAUUGAUUGACAAUGGGUCUGCACUGAAUGUCCUACCCCUAUCUACGCUGAGUAGGUUGCCAGUGGAUAGUUCCCAUAUGAAGACAUGCCAAAGUGUAGUGAGAGCAUUUGAUGGCACGGAAAGGAAGGUAAUGGGGAGAAUUGAAGUACCCCUCUUAAUCGGGCCGAGCACGUACGAGGUAAAUUUCAUGGUCAUGGACAUUAAGCCUUCGUAUAAUUGCCUAUUGGGGAGGCCAUGGAUACACUCAGCAGGGGCAGCCCUUCAUUGCUGCACCAGAAGUUGAAAUUGGUAACCAAAGGUCGGUUAAUAACGAUCAAUGCUGAAGAAGACAUCAUCGCAGUAAUAACCAGUGACGCUCCAUAUCUAGAGGAAAAUGACGAAGCAAUCGAGUGCUCUUUUUGAUCUUUGGAGUUUUUGAACGCGACAUUCAUUAUCGAAGGAAAUAGGAUUCCAAUGCGCAGGUUAUCUGAUACUACAAGAAUGGGACUACGACUAACUGUUGGAAAAGGGGCCCUACCCGGAAAAGGAUUCGGGAGAUACCUCCAGGGAAGGAUUAAUGUACCAAUGAUAAAGGACAAACAAGACCGUUUUGGGUUAGGGUUUAAGCCGGACAUGAAACAAAGAAAGAAGGAACUUGAGAAGAAGCAAGAAAGAAGGAGAGCGCGAUUGAGCGGGGGAGAAAUCGAAUGGGAACCAAUGAUCUUCCCCCAUAUAUCGAAGACUUUUGUGUCUGAAGGGGUCAUUAACUCUGUGUGAAAGACGUCGGGAAAAGAAAUUGUGGAAGGAAUGAUGGAGAGUUUGGACAUCAACGCCACAUAUGAAGAAGGAACUAGGAUAGAGGAUUUGUCGGGCAUUCGCCCCUAUGAGCCAGGAAGUGUUCUAAAUAAUUGGACUGCGGAAGAUAUUCCUGGAGUCUUUAGAACUAACUCAGAGUAAUGUCCAAAACACACUUACUACUCUAGGCCUAGGAGUAAUAAGUGUCCUUUUGUGAAAUAGGCUUAUGUUCGAAAUCGUUAUUUCAAUGAAAUGCAUCCUUUUGACUUAUUCCGUGCAAAUAUUCUUUUAUUCUUUCAUUCAUGAUCAUACCAUACAUAUUAUUGUUCUUAGAUUCUCUUGUUCUUUGUAUCUUCCUUCGCGCCUACAACAGGUCUCCAGAUAUCAAUGAUGUGAGUGACGUUGCUACUAAUUCAGAGUCUCCUUUUGAGCGGGAUAUGUGUCUAGAGGGAUCUCAGGUCUUUGAGGAUGACGAAGACUGUAACUUAUCCCCUGAUUUGUUAAGGAUGGUAGAACACGAGGAGAAACAGAUUCUACCCCACAAAGAGACUGUAGAAGUCGUGAACUUGGGAGAUGAACUAGAAAAGAAAGAAGUAAAGAUCGGAGCCUGCAUUACCACAAAGACAAAGCGGGACCUUAUUGAGUUACUCCAAGAGUUCAAGGAUGCCUUUGCAUGGUCAUAUCAAGAUAUGCCUGGGCUAAGUACUGACAUUGUGGUACACAGGCUCCCCAUCAAAGAAGAAUGCAAGCCAGUCUAGCAAAAGCUUUGAAGGAUGCCGCCCGAUGUUUUGUUGAAAAUAAAAGAGAAGGUCAAGAAGCAAUUUGAUGCUGGUUUCUUACAAGUAGUUAAGUACUCAGAAUGGGUAGCCAACAUCGUCCCCGUCCCUAAAAAAGAUGAAAAAGUACGGAUGUGUGUAGACUACAGAGACUUAAACAAAGCCAGCCCGAAGGAUAAUUUCCCGUUGCCUCAUAUUGACACCUUAGUGGAUAACACGGUAGGUUACUCACUCUUCUCCUUCAUGGAUGGUUUCUCGGGGUACAAUCAAAUCAAGAUGCAUCCUGAAGAUAUGAAUAAAACCACAUUUGUGACCAUGUGGGGAACUUUUUGCUAUAAGGUGAUGCCGUUCGGAUUGAAAAAUGCGGGAGCAACAUAUCAGAGAGCCAUGGUAACCCUAUUCCAUGAUAUGAUGCAUAAAGAAAUUGAAGUCUACGUCGACGACAUGAUCGGAAAAUCUUGGACUGAAGAAGAGCAUGUGCAAGUCUUGAGGAAAUUCCAGUUGAAACUCAAUCCCGCAAAAUGUACCUUUGGGGCCAGGUCAGGAAAACUACUAGGAUUCGUGGUCAGUGAAAAAGGGAUUGAGAUUGACCCAGAUAAAGUCAAAGCCAUACAAGAGUUACCUCCACCACGUACUCAAAAGGAAGUUCGGGGAUUCCUAAGAAGAUUAAAUUACAUCGCUCGGUUUAUUUCACAACUAACCGAGAAAUGUGACCCCAUAUUUCGUCUCCUUAAUAAACACAACCCUGGUGUUUGGGACGGGGAAUGCCAGAAGACUUUCGACAAAGUUAAGCAAUAUUUGUCUAAUGCCCCAGUGUUAACACCACCUAGUCCAGAUAAGCCACUGAUACUGUAUUUGACGGUAUUUAAAAAUUCUAUGGGAUGCGUGCUUGGCCAACACGAUGAAUCAAGAAGGAAAGAAAGAGCGGUAUAUUACCUCAGUAAAAAGUUUACUGAGUGUGAGACGAGAUACUCGUUCAUUGAAAAGUUGUGUUGUGCCUUAAUCUGGACAACCCGAAGACUGAGACAAUACAUGUUGUACCACACAACUUGGCUGAUUUCUAAACUGGAUCCUCUGAAGUACUUGAUGGAAUCAACUGUUUUAAAUGGAAGGUUGGCCAGAUGAAAAAUUCUACUUUCUGAAUUUGAUAUCGUCUAUGUAAAUCAGAAAGCUGUAAAAGGGAGUGCAAUAGCGGAUUUCCUAGCCAGUAGAGCUCUAGAAGAUUACGAGUCUCUGAACUUUGAUUUCCCUAAUGAAGAUCUGAUGUACGUGGCAACCACUGAAGAAGACCCUCAAGAAGGUCAUCCUUGGAAGCUAAACUUCGACGGAGCAUCAAAUGCUGUGGGUAACGGAAUCGGAGCAAUCUUGGUAUCCCCAGACGGUGAACAUUAUCCCUUCACUAGUAAAUUGGAUUUCGACUGCACAAACAACAUGGCAGAAUACGAAGCAUGCAUUAUGGGAAUACGCGCGGCCAUAGGGCGUAAAAUCAAGGUGUUAGAAGUAUAUGGAGAUUCUGUGCUAGUGAUUUAUCAACUCAAAGGUGAAUGGGAGACGAGAGACCCCAAGUUGAUUAAUUACUAAAGUCUAGUCCUUGAAUUAAUCAAAGAAUUUGAUAAUAUCGUCUUCUGCUAUCUCCCUCGAGAAGAGAAUCAGAUGGCCGAUGCCCUAGCAACUUUAGCCUCUAUGAUCAAGGUGAACAAACAAGAGGAUGUGAAACCGAUCCAAAUGAGUAUCUAUGAGGCUCCAGCUCAUUGUUACAACCUCGAAGAAGAAGAGGAAAAUGAUGAUCACCCUUGGUACCACGAUAUCCUGCGAUAAGUGAAGAAUCGUGAGUACCCCGACCAAGCUACUGAGAACGACAAGAGAACAUUGAGAAGACUGGCCAGUGACUAUGUCUUAGAUGGGGAGAUCCUAUACAAAAGAAGAAAGGAUCAAGUGCUGUUAAGAUGUGUAGACGUUAUUAAGGCUAAGAAAAUAUUGGAAGAAGUUCAUGAGGGCGUCUGUGGGACACAUGCUAAUGGCUUUACAAUGGCCAGACAAAUUAUGAGGUUUGGAUAUUAUUGGUCCACCAUGGAAGGAGACUGUAUUAACUAUGCCAAAAGAUGUCAUAAGUGCCAAAUCUAUGGAGACAAAAUUAACGUGCCUCCUUCAUCUCUGCAUAUUAUGACUUUUCCAUGGCCUUUCUCGAUGUGGGGCAUGGAUGUGAUUGGGCCAAUUUCGCCAAAAGCUUCAAAUGGGCAUCGUUUCAUCUUUGUAGUCAUUGAUUAUUUCACCAAAUGGGUGGAGGCUGCUUCAUAUGCCAAUGUCACUAAAUCAGCAGUUAGCAAGUUCCUGAAAAAGGAAAUCAUCUGUCGAUAUAGAAUGCCAGAAAGGAUCAUAUCUGACAACGUAUUGAAUUUGAACAACAGUACGAUAGCGGAUGUCUGCAGUCAGUUCAAGAUCAGACACCACAACUCGUCACCGUAUCGCCCGAAGAUGAACGGUGCAGUCAAAGCAGCCAAUAAGAACAUUAAGAAGAUUGUGGGAAAGAUGACAGAAACUUAUAAAGAUUGGCAUGAGAAGCUACCAUUUGCCCUCUAUGCUUAUCGAACGUCUGUCAGGACUUCCACCGGAGCAACGCCUUUCUCAUUGGUCUAUGGAAUGGAGGUAGUUUUACCUAUCGAGGUCGAGAUUCCUUCCCUCAGAGUUUUGUCAGAAGUAAAGUUGGAUGAAGCAGAAUGGAUCCAGUCCCGAUACGACCAGUUGAAUUUGAUUGAAGAAAAGAGGCUAAGGGGUAUCCGUCACGGUCAAAUGAACCAAAAGCGAAUGAUGCGAGCUUACAACAAAAAGGUUCGUCCUAGAGAAUUCCACGAGGGAGACCUAGUAUUGAAAAAGAUCCUCCCCAUACAGAAGGAUUUCAGGGGAAAAUGGAUGCCGAAUUGGGAAGGACCUUAUGUGGUAAAGAAAGCUUUUUCUGGAGGAGCAUUGAUAUUGGCCGAAAUGGAUGGCAAGACUUUACCCAAUCCCGUGAAUUCGGAUUCGGUUAAGAAAUAUUUCGCCUAAAAAUAUAUAUAUAUAUAAAUAAAAUAAAAUAAAAUAAUAAUAAUAAUAAAGAAAAGAAAAAGGAGAGGCCAGUGUGAAAACUCGCAAAGAGCACCUUGAGACCAAAGGGGUUUUGAAUUGAAAACCCGUAAAAGGGCAAUUCAAAUAUUGAUCAAAGGUGGGGCAUACGAUACUUAAAUUAACAAAGAGGAGAGAUGUUACAUCUUGGGGCAUCUACAAGGGUACUCUAGAUCCCUUAAACACAUAUUGGGCAAAAAAAGAGAGUCCUCAACAAGUUCGUGCAUAGAAGCUCAUGCUGCGAUAUCUGGGCACCUAUUUUCUUUCUAUUCAUUUUGUAUUCCAGCAAUAUUUGUUGUCCAUGAUUAAUCUAUUCCCCUCAAGUUUUGUUUCUGACAAAUUUCAUUCCUGUUAUUGUUGUGAUCUUUUUCAAGCAUUUUGCAUUAAAAUGAUGAUUAAUGGACUAAAGUCAUUUUUGCAAAAAGAGUUCUGCAUAUUACUCUGAAAGUCUCUAAAUAGUACAGGAACCUGAAACAGG
This 13634-nucleotide long non-coding RNA is filed under the name Gossypium barbadense (sea-island cotton). RNAcentral's name for it is "long non-coding RNA (GBAR_LNC004117)". Lineage: Eukaryota; Viridiplantae; Streptophyta; Magnoliopsida; Malvales; Malvaceae. The record is from RNAcentral.